GACGACCGCUGGCGGCGUGCUUAACACAUGCAAGUCGAACGGUGAAGGGAUCAGCUUGCUGGUUCUGGAUGAGUGGCGAACGGGUGAGUAACACGUGAGUAACCUGCCCCCUUCUUCUGGAUAACCGCAUGAAAGCGUGGCUAAUACGGGAUAUUCUGCGCCUGCUGCAUGGUGGGUGUGGGCACGAUAUUGUUUCGGUGGGGGAUGGGCUCGCGGCCUAUCAGCUUGUUGGUGGGGUGAUGGCCUACCAAGGCGGUGACCGGUAGCCGGCCUGAGAGGGUGGGCGGUCACACUGGGACUGAGACACGGCCCAGACUCCUACGGGAGGCAGCAGUGGGGAAUAUUGCACAAUGGGCGCAAGCCUGAUGCAGCGACGCCGCGUGAGGGAUGGAGGCCUUCGGGUUGUGAACCUCUUUCGCCAGUGAAGCAGGCCUGUCCCUUGUGGGUGGGUUGACGGUAGCUGGAUAAGAAGCGCCGGCUAACUACGUG
Molecule: ribosomal RNA, 489 nt
Filed under: uncultured bacterium
Lineage: Bacteria
Description: partial 16S ribosomal RNA
Rfam family: Bacterial small subunit ribosomal RNA
Source: RNAcentral